UCCUCUGUUACCUGUAGGUGCUGUUUCCUCCAGUCAGUUCAUCCUAACACUGUUCCUCUGCUACCUGUAGGUGCUGUUUCCUCCAGUCAGUUCAUCCUAACACUGUUCCUCUGUUACCCGUAGGUGCUGUUUCCUCCAGUCAGUUCAUCCUAACACUGUUCCUCUGCUAUCUGUAGGUGCUGUUUCCUCCAGUCAGUUCAUCCUAACACUGUUCCUCUGUUACCCGUAGGUGCUGUUUCCUCCAGUCAGUUCAUCCUAACACUGUUCCUCUGCUACCUGUAGGUGCUGUUUCCUCCAGUCAGUUCAUCCUAACACUGUUCCUCUGUUACCUGUAGGUGCUGUUUCCGCCAGUCAGGAUGGGAUCUCUGCAGCAGAGGUGGAGCUGAGAGUCAGAC
RNAcentral lists this long non-coding RNA (395 nucleotides) under Salmo salar (Atlantic salmon). RNAcentral's name for it is "lncRNA (ENSSSAG00000103477.1)". The record is from RNAcentral. Lineage: Eukaryota; Metazoa; Chordata; Actinopteri; Salmoniformes; Salmonidae.